This 127-nucleotide ribosomal RNA is filed under the name Microcebus murinus (gray mouse lemur). The record is from RNAcentral. Lineage: Eukaryota; Metazoa; Chordata; Mammalia; Primates; Cheirogaleidae.
GUCUAAGGCCUUACCACCCUGAAUGUGCCUAAUCUCAUCUGGUUUUGGAAGCUAAGCAGGGUUGAGCCUGAUUAGAACUUGGAUGAGAGCAAGCUAUUAUUCUUAAUAAACUAUUGGUUCAUAGUCA